GCCGCCGUAGCUCAGCCGGGCAGAGCGCCGGGCCCAUAUGGCACCGGAGAGAACCGAUCUGGGAAACCCGGUGGCCCGGGGUUCAAAUCCCCGCGGCGGCA
Molecule: transfer RNA, 101 nt
Filed under: Ignicoccus islandicus DSM 13165
Lineage: Archaea; Thermoproteati; Thermoproteota; Thermoprotei; Desulfurococcales; Desulfurococcaceae
Rfam family: tRNA
About the family: Transfer RNA (tRNA) molecules are approximately 80 nucleotides in length. Their secondary structure includes four short double-helical elements and three loops (D, anti-codon, and T loops). Further hydrogen bonds mediate the characteristic L-shaped molecular structure. tRNAs have two regions of fundamental functional importance: the anti-codon, which is responsible for specific mRNA codon recognition, and the 3' end, to which the tRNAs corresponding amino acid is attached (by aminoacyl-tRNA synthetases). tRNAs cope with the degeneracy of the genetic code in two manners: having more than one tRNA (with a specific anti-codon) for a particular amino acid; and 'wobble' base-pairing, i.e. permitting non-standard base-pairing at the 3rd anti-codon position.
Source: Rfam by way of RNAcentral